CAUGAAGCUGGAAUCGCUAGUAAUCGCGGAUCAGAAUGCCGCGGUGAAUACGUUCCCGGGUCUUGUACACACCGCCCGUCACACCAUGGGAGUCGGAAAUGCCCGAAGCCGGUGACUCAACCUUUAAGGAGAGAGCCGUCGAAGGCAGGUCUGAUAACCGGGGUGAAGUCGUAACAAGGUAGC
RNAcentral lists this ribosomal RNA (183 nucleotides) under uncultured bacterium. RNAcentral's name for it is "partial 16S ribosomal RNA". It matches the Rfam family "Bacterial small subunit ribosomal RNA", at positions 1319 to 1500 of the family's 1533-position model. The record is from RNAcentral.